UCUCUCUCACUCAUCUCCUCUUCAGAAACCUCCAAAGAAACCCUAGCAUCGCCAUUAAAAUCCCCAACCCUCUCCGGUGGCGGCGCCGCCUCAAAUCGGCCCCAAAUUUACACCACAUAGCCCUUAGCCCAUCCUCUUUCCAUAACCCAAAAACACAUUCUUCUAAGCCCUCUACAUCUCGUCGAAUUUCAAAUCUGAGGUGGAAACCCUAAAUCCCAAAUCUUCCAAAUUGGUAGUUUCAACGAAGGAUUUGAGGCUGAAGUUGAUUUUAUUCGUGCGUUUUCAUUGAGAACACACGAUUAAUGUCCAUUUCAUCAAAAUCGAGAGAUGCAGGAAUCAUUCAAGAUCUUGUUUGCCUGGGUUUAGGUAUUUCAGUUUCUCUUUCUUUCAUUUUUCUUUUCAUUUUCAUCCCUAGUUCUUCAUCUUCUUCUGUUUCUUUUCCUUCUCUUUCCUUUUUAUUUUAAAAUUUUUUCUGCAUGUCUGUAAUUCUAACCAGUAUAUUUUGUUUCUUUUGUUUUAGUUCUCGCUUAAAUUUCCCUCCUGUUUGUUUUGCUUUAUUUGGAAUCUUUAGUUCCAGGAGUUCACAUAACUCCAAGUUGUUCCUUUUCUUGAAUCUCUCUGUUGGAUUUCGAUUGAAUUGGGCUAUGUUAAUUAGAGGCCCAGAAAAAGGGGAUUAGCUCUAGUUUGGUAAACCCAUGUUUGGUUAGUCUUGGGUCCAAAUUGACCCAUAUUUAUGCUGGGGUAAUUAAUAGGGGUUACAAGGGUAAUUCAGGAUUUUUAGGUUAGAGAAUCUCUCAUAAUUAAUUGGGAAACUUCUAGGAAGAUAGGGUUUGGGACUGUUUUAAAAAAUAGAAUUUAAAUGUAAGGACUAACUAGCAAAAAUGAGAAUUUAAAAAGGAGUAAAGGGCAAUAACUUGACUCAUUUCUGGUGCCCUAAAGCGUUUCUAUAAAAGGGUGUAACUUCUUAAUCAAGAGAGAAUGAUUAGAGAUUAAAAAAUACUGAAAAUUUUAGAAGUAGCUGAGUCAGAAAUUAUUAAAAAAUUCUUACAAUUUUGGUGAAGAAUCUGGUUCUGGUUUCCUAUUUUUUUCUCAAAUCUCUAUAGUCGAACUUUCCUCAAUAAUGGUUGUUCAUUCUGGGUUCAAAAUGGUUUAAAGUUUGGUUUGUUGCUGUUUGGUUUUGCUGGAGUUACUGUUGUCGUUUCCCCUCUUGUUGAGUUACUACUGCUGCUUUUUCAUAACCUCAUGUUGUUGUGUUGUUUAUUUUCCGUACUCAGGUACAUAUCUCUGAUUCUGAACAUGUAAGAAUGGCUCGUUUGGCUUGAAGAAAUGAAGAUCUCCUCAUUUACUCGAUGCUUUCUCUUAUCCUUUCAUUCAACUUGUUAAUUCAUUUCUUCUGUUUUAGCAUGCUAAAAAGUGAUGUUAUGCCAUGAACAUUUGAGACUUAUGCCGAGGGUUGUAUUUGGACUCUUAUUUGUGCUCGUAAUUUUAGCUUGUUUUGAAUACUUUCUCCUGAAUUUUGGAUAGUUAUACAGUCAUGCAUGAGCUCAAUGUGAGAUAGUUAAUACCACUUUAGGUUUUCUUUUGAGUAAGAUGUUGCAUUCUUAGUGAUAUUCGAUUUCAGGUCAUUCUUCACAAAUGACCAAGUAAAUGAUUUAGACUGUUUCAAGCUCAUGUUGAA
This 1678-nucleotide long non-coding RNA is filed under the name Nicotiana tabacum (common tobacco). RNAcentral describes it as "long non-coding RNA (NTAB_LNC011927)". The record is from RNAcentral. Lineage: Eukaryota; Viridiplantae; Streptophyta; Magnoliopsida; Solanales; Solanaceae.